This is a non-coding RNA of Schizosaccharomyces pombe (fission yeast), 210 nucleotides long. Lineage: Eukaryota; Fungi; Ascomycota; Schizosaccharomycetes; Schizosaccharomycetales; Schizosaccharomycetaceae. The record is from the annotation of a GenBank genome assembly.
CUAUGUCGGUUAUCUUUAUCGAAUUGAUUUAGAUUGAUGAAAAAUUAAGCCAUGACAUUGUCAAAAGAAAUUCCAUUCACAAGACCACCUUUCAUGGCUGUACGCACACGAGAUGCAAAUCCUUGAGGGUCUUUAUGCAAAUCAGCCGCCGCCUCUAAAAGAUAUCGUUUGUUAGUAUAGUUAAAUAAAUCUAGAAAAUUUGUUAAGGAG